AUAGGAAACAAGGAAAGAAGGGGACAACCUUAGUACAUGCAACCUACACUGUAGUGUUUCAAUUUAGUAGUCUAGGGGGGCUGAUUAAGUGGUACUUAGGCUCAAAAGAAAAAGGAGCUUGAUUGGCUAAGUUGUUUGUUGCUUGAGGACAAGCAAAAGGCUAGGUGUGGGGGUAUUUGAUCAAGCAUAAUUUAGCCACAUUUUUAUUAUAUUUAUUACUGUUUAUUUACACAUUUUUCUAGCUUAAUUUGUGUUUUUGUUAUGUUUUUACAUAAAAGGAAGAAAUUGGAAAAAUGGAGAAAAAGUGCAGAAAAUGACAGAAAAGUGAUUGGGUCAGUGAUUUGCCCAAAUCACUACCCAAAUCGAGCUGAAGCAGAAACCUGGAGGCAACAGGCAGAGGUCAGUGAUUUGCCCGGGUCAGUGAUUUGCCCAAGUCACUCGAAGAAACUGGUCAAAUCACUCGCAGAGACAGAGACAGAAACUGGACUGAAUCCCAGAGAACGAUUUGCCCAGAUUGGGCAAGUGAUUUGCCCAAAUCACUCGCAGAAACUGCCCAAAUCACCUUGACAGCAGAAUUUACAGCAGAGGCGGGAAAAGAGCAGAAAAUCUAAAUUCAAAGAAAAGAAGUCCAAAUCCACUUCAAACACCACAAGAUCAGUCCCAAGAGUCACGCCCUUCACUUAGAGAGUUCCAUUCUCAAUCAAAUACAAAAUCCAAGGAGGAAUCAAAGACUACAAAGAAGACCAAAUCAAAUUGAAAUUCCAAAACCCUAAUCAAAUUGAAAUUGGGAUUCUCCAGCUAUAUAAGGGCAGCAUCCAAACCAGCAUAGCAUCAUCCCAUCUUCAGCAAUACUGCAGAAAUUUACAGCAGCUUUCUUCCUUUCUUUUCUUUUCUUUCUUUUGAGAUUUUGUCCACCAUGAGUGGCUAAAUUCCAUCCUUUUCUAGUUGAAGUUGGUGAAUUUCAGAUUUUGUGAUGAAUUGGGAGAUUUAAAUCUCCAUUGUUAAACUUCUAUUUAUUAUCAAUAUUUAUGCAAUUUGAGCUUUCCAUAAUUAUUACUUUGCUUUUAGAAUCAAUAAGGGCCCAUUGCUUUUAAAUUGCUUAAGUAAUAUUGUUUGAAUGAUUUAGGUCCGUAAUUGCUUAGGUUGUUCAAAUACACAUUUAAUCAAAUUGCAUAAUCUAAACUUGACCACGCGGUUGGCAAGGAUAGAAUUGGAUUUCUCUAAG
Molecule: long non-coding RNA, 1225 nt
Filed under: Manihot esculenta (cassava)
Lineage: Eukaryota; Viridiplantae; Streptophyta; Magnoliopsida; Malpighiales; Euphorbiaceae
Description: long non-coding RNA (MESC_LNC008429)
Source: RNAcentral